Long non-coding RNA from Salmo salar (Atlantic salmon), 3191 nucleotides. RefSeq lists it as uncharacterized. Lineage: Eukaryota; Metazoa; Chordata; Actinopteri; Salmoniformes; Salmonidae. The record is from RefSeq and is a predicted model, not a curated record.
CCUCGCAUAAUCUUGAAGAUUUGUCCUACAUCCUUUAUGCCGGCUAAAAUCAUAUCUCAUUUUAAACUAUACUUUCUUCACCAUAUUUUGAUCCAAUAAACCACACAGAGUACAUGAUUAAGAGAGGCACCUGUUGACUAUUUAAAAUAUGUGAAACCUUUUCACAUAAAAUGGUAGAACUAAGAACAACCUCACAGAUGUAAUAUGACUCUGACCUGGGGCCCCAUUGCAACCAUCUCCUUGUCAGUCAGGAAGCACAGCUGAUGCUAACGCUGCCAGACACUCAGCUCCAGACUAUGCAGCACAUCCACUGAGCUUACUGAUGAUGAUGAUGCAUACGCAGAGAACAUGCAGUCAGCUGUGGUCCGGGGAAGUCCAGACCUCCGCUGUGACACUUAUCAAAACAGGCCAUCACAUCGCUGGCAAUAUACUAUGCUGGUUAUGUAGUGGGAUAUCACUGCCACUGGCUGAAUGACUGAGUGGGAUAAUGAUGGUGGCUAAGAUGGUAGGUAAUUGGUGUCGUAAUGGUAAAAGAAAAUGGGGGAUGGGUUUGUAUUGAUUAAGGAUGACUCACUGGAUCAAUUUGGAUUUCUAGCCUUCUGGAGGGGGGUGAUGUAAUACUACUGCAUCACUAAUUUAGGGAUUUUGAGAUUAAAGUAGAUGCGUUCUUUCCCAAAAACAAUGUAAAUACAUUUUCAAGAUCUCUUGUAAUAAAUACUGGCCCACUAGACUUAGACUAGCACUUAGCAACAGCCUCAUAUCUGGUUUUAUGGUUGGAUGUGACAGAGCAUAUUUUCAGAUGUUUAUGAGAUGUUGAGAUGGUUCAAAUCAUUUUGAUCAAGCCUGGGAGUGUUCAUUCAUUAAUACAUUACAUUUGCACUCUUUCAAGUGAGUCUUUAAUCAAAUGAAUGUGGUUUACCAAUCAAAUGUGUUUUUCUCUGUGGUGUUCUUUCCUUUUUUCUAAGAACGGGGAUUCUCUCUAAAUGGUUUAAAUGAGCUCUGUAGUAGUGACAUUGAUUUGAAUCAAUCAAUGGUUUCAAUAAAUAAAUCUUGCCUACCUUUUCUAGUGUUUUAUAUAAGCAUAUUGGACACUACUACACUCACCCAUAAUGAAACAGUGGGUAAUGGCAUAUGGGUAAACCAGUCUUAAAACUGUUACCAAAAGAUUACAAUCUCUGGGACAGCAUCCAAACAGAUGCUCAUUUGGUAUGAUGAUCUUUUUCAGAGGCCUGCUACUGGAGGCAGCUGCUAAGCAGUCCAUUGUGUGUUCGACUCCAUACCACUCCCUUAUUACAGGCCAACUCCCAACACUUCCGGAGAGCAAUAAUGUUCCAAUCAUCUACUGCCAUCUUCUGGCUGUAUUGAAAACCAGUGUCAUGUUUAUUGAUUAUUGGAAAAAUACGUCCCAGGAGACUGGCGAUCUUGUAUGAAUUCACAAUUUCCAAUAGAUCCACAUUAGGGUGUUUUGGUUCAUCAAAACAAACAUUGAUGAAGGUCUAUUAAAAACUUUGAUGAGAAAUUGAAGAACAUGAAAUUAACCAUGAGUAUGAUCAUGCUGAAUCAUUUCAAUGUGUUAGAUGUAGAGUUUUACUUCCUGUUUCUCUGACUAGCAGUGUCCCUGUUUCCUAGUGACUAUAAUGUUGUUGCCUAGUGACUAUAAUGUUGUUGCCUAGUGACUAUCAUCUUGGUUUUGAAUGAAGUGAACUCCAACUGUCUCGAGGUAAUAUUGUAUGUUUAUCUUAUGACAACAUUACAUUUCAACACAAAUGUCUUAUAAAGCAAAAGAAAACCUUUAUUUUUCUAUUUAGAAUAUACAAAACAGUACCUAGUUGUCAUAAAGAUAAAACACAAGUACAAGAUCAUUUGUUUUUACAGUGAAGGUGAUUGGGAAUGAUUUGUGUUGGUUGGUAGGCCUGUUGUGGGGUGGAGUAGCUGCAGACCAACAUGACCAAUGAUGAGGGCCCGACAUGCAGAAAGUAGAAGACUGAUCAUUAUGGCUCCUAUAGCAGAGUUCAUCUUGUCUUGGUGCAAGGUGGUUGGGUAGAGGUGCUUCUUGCAACCACCACCACUUGACAAUGCACAGCCUUUUAUUACACUGGAAAGAGACAACAGAGAAUGGUGGUAGAAUCAGUCUGCUGACAUGGGAAUAAGGCUUUAGUAAAUUUAGCCUACGUGCAAGAGCAGCAUGCAUACCGACACUUUCCCCAUGACUCUUUACCAUAACAUCUGUAACAGAGCAUGAAUGGCAUGGUGAUAUUCAAUUCAGGAGUAGAUCAUUGAUUUUGAAUUGAAAAAAAUCAGAUCAGUUACCUGCAGGGAGGAUGUUAUCCUUAGAGUAUCCCUUCAUGUUCAUGUUUCCUGCUGGGUUGUACGGGCCCAGCAGGAAAAUUAUCUCCAUUAACCCAUAAGAGUCUAAGCCAUGUCUAAGCCAGGGGUGGGGAGGUUCUACUAAGCUAUAUGGAAUUGUUUUAAGAAGGUGAUACUAAGGAUCAUUUAGGUAUAUGAUUUUGAUUUUAAGACCCCUUGAAGUAUCAAAAAAAUAUACAUGAAUUUUUUUUUGAUAUUUUUGGCUUUACCACUAUUAACCCAUUCAAAUGCAUUUAAUAACAGAUUCACUACAUGGAACAACAGAUAGUCCCCCCAAAAAACUAAAGAAGGUUCAUUCUGAAGUGUCUGUCCUAUAUCUGAAAGAUAUAAGAAAGAUCAGGGAACAUUUGUUUUUAUUUCUGUUUUUACAUGUAUUUAACCCCUUAUUUCAACUGGUACCGGGGACCUUCAGACGAGUCUUGUGGGGCCCUCAUGAAAAAGUACUACUGAAUUACUACUCAUCACUAAUACACAAGAUCUACACAAACGUACUGGUUUUACUACUUGAUUGCUAUUGAGAUGUGUAAUAAACCAGUAGUGAUUUAUGUAGUAAUUUAAGAAGUAAUGAGUGAUAAAUUAGGAUGUUUCACUACUGGUGAACACUACAUAUUUCCUACUCAAACUACAUAAUUCUUUCUUAUUGAUUGAUUAACUACUGAGCGUUUGGGUAUCUACUACUUAAAACCUACACAUUCCGACAUGUUCACUAUUGAAUUACUACAUAACGGCUACACAUUACUGCUGUAUGUAAAUGUUAUAUUUCAGUUUAUAAUUUUUUAUAAAUUUGCAAAAAUGUCUAAAAACCCAUUUUUGCUUUGUCAUUA